GCUAUUCUGGAGUUGUGAUGCUCACAAGUCACAAUUUUUUGUGAGGUUAUUUUUGUGAGGUUUCUUAUGAGGUUGUCACAAUUUCGUAUUCUGCAAAAAACCUCAUAAGAAACCUCACAAAAAUUCACCACAAUAGGGUGAUGUGAAAUUUGACUUUUGAAAAGUAGUCCAGCAAAGCGAGCGUCCAAUUUCACAGAAGAAAAAUUCAAUUGUUCCAGCUCCCAAUUAAAAGGAUACCUGCGAAGUGAGAACCGUAUGUAAGGAAUAAAACUAGCUGAAACAGUCAAGAACCGCGUUUAUCUCGAUCUACACGUAUGUAAUAAAAAGCCCGAUGACAUCUUCACAGAAGGAGGACGUGUGCAGAAGGUUACACUGACGGUGGAGUUGUGGCUGCAGAGCCUAAGAAUGAAAACCAAUGGCAAGACAACGCAUCUGUUUUCUUCUUGGACAAUUCGAGUGCCUCCGAUGAAAACUGUGAAGAUGACGACUUUGAGAAACGUAAUAACAUAAUGCAAGUUAUCUACAAAUGCCUAACACAGAGAUGAUCGUCGAUUGCCGUCACUUCUUCCUCAUGUCGCAGUAAACAAUGAUCAGCAGCAAAAGAGUUUUCUGAAUCCCUUUUGACUCAGUGAUUGGUGAGAGAUUUGCGUGGAAAAGUUAAACAAACGCCACAACAUAAAAAGGACUGAAGAGAGCUUGGAGGCUUUCAAGCGCAUGUCGCUCAUUCUCAUGCUUAUACAACUGAAAAAAGUCAACCACCAUUUGAAACUGGCAUAGAACGAGCUUAGACAAUUAUAUCACUGCGCACUCCAAUUAUCAUCAUCUUAGAAAAUAUGCUUAGGAUCCAAACAGUAGACCAUACAGAUAAUUCGAUGGCUGCUUAUCCACGACCCACCGCCGAAGGUUAACAAAUAUUGUACCACCAUCAAAUUUCCAGGCAAAUAAACUUCAAGAAAUGCUGUGACAUGCUCUCGCCAACUUCAAGAAAUGCUGCGACAUAUGCUUUCGCCAACCCUCAAAGUAAAGUCUAUACGCAUUUAGUUGCCGAUUGUCUGCAUCAAGAGGUGAAGAAGUACUGGAGCAUACCUAUCAUGUGGGAUUGAGCACCAAUCUUCUUAUCGAUGUCGAAAUUAUUACCAUCGCUUAUGAGAUUACAAAUGAGAUUCUCCGCAUAUGGGAGAUUUAUUAUAAAUGUCCUUAGAAACAAUUCUAAUGAAUCAGAUUUAAGGUAUAACUACAUUGGCUCAAAAAGUGAAAAAGUACAAAAGUGAAAAUUUUCAAAUGCAUUUUUGUGUAGUUUUUCGGGCUGGAAAAUUAAAACUAAUGAUGCAGAAAGCUUAUUUUUUGGUCUAAAAAACAAUUUGUAUACUCUUUUUCACAAAACAAUUGCGCUAGCGAGAAAAAAAAUAUUUUCACUUUUGUACUUUUUCAAAAAGUGGUGUAUGUAGUUAAGCCUUUAGAAUCCUUGGUUCGCCAGAAGAAAGAACUAUUGUUUUGUGCUAAAAAUGCUAUUCAAAUAAAAAAAAGUAUAAUUUUA
Long non-coding RNA from Episyrphus balteatus (marmalade hoverfly), 1537 nucleotides. RefSeq lists it as uncharacterized. The record is from RefSeq and is a predicted model, not a curated record. Lineage: Eukaryota; Metazoa; Arthropoda; Insecta; Diptera; Syrphidae. The transcript has 5 exons.